Zonotrichia leucophrys gambelii is the source of this 638-nucleotide long non-coding RNA. RefSeq lists it as uncharacterized. The transcript has 3 exons. The record is from RefSeq and is a predicted model, not a curated record. Lineage: Eukaryota; Metazoa; Chordata; Aves; Passeriformes; Passerellidae.
CACCCUUCUGCUUUGCAGAAUCCCUAACAAGGAGCCACAAGUAGGCUGCUGGUGUCCUGGGACUAAAUGCUCCCUGAUAAACAGGAUUUCCUGAAAGCUCUACAGAGGUUUUCAUGUUAUUUCUGAGACUGCUGAAGAGGAAAUGAAACUUCAAGCACACCAAUCUGAGCUUUGUUCCUUGUACUGAGCAGUGUCAGAAGUGGGGUACCAAGCUGGGGCCAGGACCACAAAGGAAGUCUGGCCUGUCCCACCUGGAUGUGCCCUUGUCAUUAGAAAAAGUCCCUCAGAUUCCUCCAGUCAUGGAUGAAAAUCACACCCACCUGUACCUGGGGCAGGAGUAAAUUUUUCUUUUUCUGCUGAAAGUCACAAUGACCCAAUGGACAUGGGAGCUGUUGAUCCACAUUUCAGGGAGUGCCAGCAGAAGAAGCUUUUGGGAAACCUGAUGCAACUUUCCAGGUUCAGCAACAAAAGACAAGUCCGAUAUAAUUUUUGUCACAAAAACUUCCUUUAACCAUUGUCAUUAUUCUCUAUUUAAUUGCUAUUUUUGGCAUUGAUUAUUGAACUUCAGUAAGGUUACUAAUUACAAUGUUCUAAUCCAAAACCCCUUUCGAUGAGGAGUUAUCUGAAUGUCUCCUCUC